AGUGAACGCUGGCGGUAGGCCUAACACAUGCAAGUCGAACGGCAGCACAGUAAGAGCUUGCUCUUACGGGUGGCGAGUGGCGGACGAGUGAGGAAUACAUCGGAAUCUACUUUUUCGUGGGGGAUAACGUAGGGAGACUUACGCUAAUACCGCAUACGACCUACGGGUGAAAGCAGGGGAUCUUCGGACCUUGCGCGAUUGAAUGAGCCGAUGUCGGAUUAGCUAGUUGGCGGGGUAAAGGCCCACCAAGGCGACGAUCCGUAGCUGGUCUGAGAGGAUGAUCAGCCACACUGGAACUGAGACACGGUCCAGACUCCUACGGGAGGCAGCAGUGGGGAAUAUUGGACAAUGGGCGCAAGCCUGAUCCAGCCAUACCGCGUGGGUGAAGAAGGCCUUCGGGUUGUAAAGCCCUUUUGUUGGGAAAGAAAAGCAGCAGGUUAAUACCCCGCUGUUCUGACGGUACCCAAAGAAUAAGCACCGGCUAACUUCGUG
RNAcentral lists this ribosomal RNA (492 nucleotides) under uncultured bacterium. RNAcentral's name for it is "partial 16S ribosomal RNA". It matches the Rfam family "Bacterial small subunit ribosomal RNA", at positions 29 to 507 of the family's 1533-position model. The record is from RNAcentral.